GGGAAGGGUCAGGAUAAUCCAACGUCUCUGCCUCCUUCCUUCUUCUAUCCUGCCAAUCCCUACACCAGGGAACACUUAACCCAUACCUGCAGGCAUCCCAGGUUCUAAGAGAGACUCCUAAGCAGGAGAUAUACAGGUAUUUUGUACCGCUGUGCAGUGGGGAAAAAACCAAGGACUUGAUUCCAGAAGACCUGGGUUUGAAUCUGGACUCUUACUGGAAAGUCAGAAGAUUUAGACCUGAAAGGCCUUCUAACGUGUUCUGUUCCUUUUGACUUCUUCCCCUCUGAAGGAAGGAGGAGACCACUAGACCUGUCGGCCUCAUGGGGGACAAAGCACAAGGUGUCACCCUCUGACUAUUGAACAGGGUAAGUUUAGCACUAAUUCAUACAACAGAUAAUAAAUUUAUGGAAUUAUCAGAAAUAG
Molecule: long non-coding RNA, 423 nt
Filed under: Vombatus ursinus (common wombat)
Lineage: Eukaryota; Metazoa; Chordata; Mammalia; Diprotodontia; Vombatidae
Description: lncRNA (ENSVURG00010008815.1)
Source: RNAcentral